UGGGGAAUAUUGCACAAUGGGCGCAAGCCUGAUGCAGCCAUGCCGCGUGUAUGAAGAAGGCCUUCGGGUUGUAAAGUACUUUCAGUCGGGAGGAAGGUGGUAAGGUUAAUAACCUUAUCAAUUGACGUUACCGACAGAAGAAGCACCGGCUAACUCCGCGCCAGCAGCCGCGGUAAUACGGAGGGUGCAAGCGUUAAUCGGAAUUACUGGGCGUAAAGCGCACGCAGGCGGUUGAUUGAGUCAGAUGUGAAAACCCCGGGCUUAACCCGGGAAUUUCAUCUGAUACUGGUCAGCUAGAGUCGUGUAGAGGGGGGUAGAAUUCCAUGUGUAGCGGUGAAAUGCGUAGAGAUGUGGAGGAAUACCGGUGGCGAAAGCGGCCCCCUGGACAAAGACAGACGCUCAGGUGCGAAAGCGUGGGGAGCAAACAGG
This 429-nucleotide ribosomal RNA is filed under the name Chloroflexota bacterium. RNAcentral's name for it is "Chloroflexi bacterium partial 16S ribosomal RNA". It matches the Rfam family "Bacterial small subunit ribosomal RNA", at positions 355 to 776 of the family's 1533-position model. Lineage: Bacteria; Bacillati; Chloroflexota. The record is from RNAcentral.